RNAcentral lists this ribosomal RNA (372 nucleotides) under uncultured organism. Its description in RNAcentral is "partial 16S ribosomal RNA". It matches the Rfam family "Bacterial small subunit ribosomal RNA", at positions 527 to 896 of the family's 1533-position model. The record is from RNAcentral.
GUAGGUGGCAAGCGUUGUCCGGAAUUAUGGGCGUAAAGCGCGCGCAGGCGGUCCUUUAAGUCUGAUGUGAAAGCCCACGGGCUCAACCGUGGAGGGUCAUUGGAAACUGGGGGACUUGAGUACAGAAGAGGAAAGCGGAAUUCCAAGUGUAGCGGUGAAAUGCGUAGAGAUUUGGAGGAACACCAGUGGCGAAGGCGGCUUUCUGGUCUGUAACUGACGCUGAGGCGCGAAAGCGUGGGGAGCAAACAGGAUUAGAUACCCUGGUAGUCCACGCCGUAAACGAUGAGUGCUAAGUGUUAGGGGGUUUCCGCCCCUUAGUGCUGCAGCUAACGCAUUAAGCACUCCGCCUGGGGAGUACGGCCGCAAAGGCUG